RNAcentral lists this ribosomal RNA (103 nucleotides) under Caerostris darwini. Lineage: Eukaryota; Metazoa; Arthropoda; Arachnida; Araneae; Araneidae. The record is from RNAcentral.
AACAUGCUGAAUAUACCGGUUCUCGUUAGAUCACCGAAGUCAAGCAUCAUUGGGCGCGGUCAGUACUUGGGUGAGUGACCACCUGGGAACACUGCGUGCCGUU